RNAcentral lists this ribosomal RNA (468 nucleotides) under uncultured bacterium. RNAcentral describes it as "partial 16S ribosomal RNA". It matches the Rfam family "Bacterial small subunit ribosomal RNA", at positions 28 to 507 of the family's 1533-position model. The record is from RNAcentral.
GACGAACGCUGGCGGCGUGCUUAACACAUGCAAGUCGAACGGAAAGGCCCUGCUUUUGUGGGGUGCUCGAGUGGCGAACGGGUGAGUAACACGUGAGUAACCUGCCCUUGACUUUGGGAUAACUUCAGGAAACUGGGGCUAAUACCGGAUAGGAGCUCCUGCUGCAUGGUGGGGGUUGGAAAGUUUCGGCGGUUGGGGAUGGACUCGCGGCUUAUCAGCUUGUUGGUGGGGUAGUGGCUUACCAAGGCUUUGACGGGUAGCCGGCCUGAGAGGGUGACCGGACACAUUGGGACUGAGAUACGGCCCAGACUCCUACGGGAGGCAGCAGUGGGGAAUAUUGCACAAUGGGCGGAAGCCUGACGCAGCAACGCCGCGUGCGGGAUGACGGCCUUCGGGUUGUAAACCGCUUUCGCCUGUGACGAAGCGUGAGUGACGGUAAUGGGUAAAGAAGCACCGGCUAACUACGUG